Molecule: unclassified non-coding RNA, 1813 nt
Filed under: Hevea brasiliensis (rubber tree)
Lineage: Eukaryota; Viridiplantae; Streptophyta; Magnoliopsida; Malpighiales; Euphorbiaceae
Source: RNAcentral
GUGAAAUUCACCUUUUUUUUCUCUUCUAACUUUAAAAGGUUUGCAAUAGUUAACUUGUUAUGGUAGUUUCUAGAUCUGAAAGUAAUUUCUUUGCUUGUUGAAUAGUUAAAGGGAAAAAAAAAAUUUGGACUGCAAAGAUCUAUAGUUUAUCAUAAGUGCUGUGGUGGUGUCACAUGGAAUUGGAGUACCAAUGUACCACUAAAUUUGCAAUCUCCUACCAAUAAUUUCAAGAAUUUUUUAAGUGUUGCUUAGAUUGGUUUUACAUUUUGCGACUUUAACCUGGUUGGUAAUCCCAUAGGUAUCUAAAUGGCAAUGGUUAUAUUUGUUGGCCUAGGUGAUUGUUUUGCUUGUGAACUUUCGUAGCUAUAAAUGCUAAACAAUUUCCCAAACAAGCACACGUGCUGAUAACCAAAAAGAAAAAAAAGAGGCAUGAUCAGCCAUUGUUUUCAUUGUAUUUUUUAAUUAUUCAAGAAGCAGUUUGAUGGGGAUAUUAAUAGAAGGUCUAAUUUCUUGAGUAGAUGAGAAACUUAAAAGAAUUCGUUUAAUCUGCUGGUUAAAGCAACUAAAAUUUAGAGGUUUUACUGGAUUAGUGCUUUGUUUGGAACAGGAGUGUAGAUCAUUCAGUCAUUAGCUUUGCAAUUAAAAAAUAAUGUCAUUUCAAGGUUACACUUUUGGGUCCUUAAGUGCUACUCUUGAACCAGUGUAACCCUUCCUGACCUAGAUAUUCCUUCCUCCAACUUUCAAUCUCACCUUCCUUGACUGAGACCCAUCAAAAAGGGUUAAUUAAUCCUUUUACUAAUUGAAUCUUUCACCUGGGGAUGUUUCAAGAAUUGGGCUUAUUAAGAUGGAUCAUCCUAUGUUCUGCUGAUCAAUGAAUUCAUAUUGUUUGUGUCCAGGGUGUGCCGUAGAAAAAUUCUUUUAAGCAUUUCUUCCUAACUCAUGGAGAAUUGAACUUGGAAAUUUUUUCCCCCAAUCUUAUGUCACAAUCAGUGACACAUGGUGACUUUUUGUUCUAGGAACAAUUCUUUUGUAGUAUAUGAACUGUAUGACAUGCUGUCAAGUUUCAAAUAAUUUUUAUGAAAGGCAUCCUUACAUGUUUGAAGACUAAUUGUAUAGAAUUAUAUUAAGGUAGCAGGAAAUAUUUACAAUAUACAUGUUAAAUAGAGUUUCAUUGAGCAUAUGAUGGGUUUUGCUAUAGUGUCUUCUGCUUGGUUACUGAAACUAAUUUGUUAAAACAUAUUUUUCCAAAUUCUUUUUUGUGUACCAUUGGAAACUCAAGGAAUAUGCCCAUGUAUGUGUAUUUAUUUUUGUUAUUAUGAGGAUUUGGCUUUCAUAUAGGAAACUAGCUAGUACAUCUUUUUUGGGUGAAAUGAUAUUUGGUAUGAGGGAUAAGGCAGUGGCUUUACAUUCAGAGAUGGCCAGGCAUUACCUUGCUUCUCCGAGUUGGCAAAUAAUAUGCUUUUAUAAUCAUUGGGUUCUUUAUUAUCAAAUUAUAUUUUGGCAAAGUGAGAGUCAAUGAUGAUAAUAAGAUUACUGUGGAGUUUCCUUCUUGGGGUAGUUGUGACGCUCACAGCUCUCUUGCCUUUCAAUCUGCAACAUAAAGGAAAUGUUUGAUCUGAAGUGGCAUAUCAAGCUUACCCUUGUCUUCAGGGAGCUGAGUGUUUGUGUGGACUGGCUGGCAAGCUAGGCAUUUCUUCUUAAUGUAGGAUCCUGCUUCUUCCUGUCUAUCUCAAGUGCCUCAGUUUGGUUUUGACUGAUGCUUUUGGUAUUAGCAUAGCCGACCUUAAAUUUUUUGGAUAAAGGUUGAGUUGAG